GUUGUAAUUUGCAGAGGGCGCUUUGGCAUUGGCAGCGGUCCAAGUUCCUUGGAACAGGACGUCACAGAGGGUGAGAAUCCCGUACGUGGUCGCUAGCCUUUACCGUGUAAAGCCCCUUCGACGAGUCGAGUUGUUUGGGAAUGCAGCUCUAAAUGGGAGGUAAAUUUCUUCUAAAGCUAAAUACUGGCCAGAGACCGAUAGCGCACAAGUAGAGUGAUCGAAAGAUGAAAAGCACUUUGGAAAGAGAGUUAAAAAGCACGUGAAAUUGUUGAAAGGGAAGCGCUUGCAGCCAGACUUGCCUGUAGUUGCUCAUCUAGGUUUCUACCUAGUGCACUCUUCUAUAGGCAGGCCAGCAUCAGUUUGGGCGGUUGGAUAAAGGUCUCUGUCAUGUACCUCUCUUCGGGGAGAACUUAUAGGGGAGACGACAUGCAACCAGCCUGGACUGAGGUCCGCGCAUCUGCUAGGAUGCUGGCGUAAUGGCUGUAAGCGGCCCGUC
RNAcentral lists this ribosomal RNA (496 nucleotides) under fungal endophyte sp. DM144. RNAcentral describes it as "eukaryotic LSU rRNA". It matches the Rfam family "Eukaryotic large subunit ribosomal RNA", at positions 142 to 653 of the family's 3401-position model. Lineage: Eukaryota; Fungi. The record is from RNAcentral.